CAGCAGCAGCCGCGGGAAUACGAAGGGUGCAAGCGUUACUCGGAAUUACUGGGCGUAAAGCGUGCGUAGGUGGUGGUUUAAGUCCGUUGUGAAAGCCCUGGGCUCAACCUGGGAAUUGCAGUGGAUACUGGGUCACUAGAGUGUGGUAGAGGAUAGUGGAAUUUCCGGUGUAGCAGUGAAAUGCGUAGAGAUCGGAAGGAACAUCUGUGGCGAAGGCGGCCAUCUGGGACAACACUGACGCUGAAGCACGAAAGCGUGGUGAGCAAACAGGAUUAGAUACCCCGGUAGUCCCUGUCUCUUAUAC
Molecule: ribosomal RNA, 304 nt
Filed under: uncultured bacterium
Lineage: Bacteria
Description: partial 16S ribosomal RNA
Rfam family: Bacterial small subunit ribosomal RNA
Source: RNAcentral